UAUUUAAAUAGUUUAAGAAAAAUUUUGAUUUGUGGAGUCAAUGAUGUAAAUACAUACUUUAAAU
RNAcentral lists this transfer RNA (64 nucleotides) under Anthribidae sp. 9 ACP-2013. RNAcentral describes it as "tRNA-His". Lineage: Eukaryota; Metazoa; Arthropoda; Insecta; Coleoptera; Anthribidae. The record is from RNAcentral.